GAUGAAGAACGUAGCGAAAUGCGAUAAGUAAUGUGAAUUGCAGAAUUCAGUGAAUCAUCGAAUCUUUGAACGCACAUUGCGCCCGCUAGUAUUCUGGCGGGCAUGCCUGUCCGAGCGUCAUUUCAACCCUCAAGCCCCAGGGCUUGGUGUUGGGGAUCGGCGAGCCUCCGCGCCCGCCGUCCCCUAAAUCUAGUGGCGGUCUCGCUGUAGCUUCCUCUGCGUAGUAGCACACCUCGCACUGGGAAACAGCGCGGCCACGCCGUUAAACCCCCAACUUCUGAACGUUUGACCUCGGAUCAGGUAGGAAUACCCGCUGAACUUAAGCAUAUCAAUAAGCGGAGGA
Molecule: unclassified non-coding RNA, 343 nt
Filed under: soil metagenome
Description: partial contains 5.8S ribosomal RNA, internal transcribed spacer 2, and large subunit ribosomal RNA
Rfam family: 5.8S ribosomal RNA (bases 1-120)
Source: RNAcentral